UUUUCAUUGACUGCCUUCCACUUGUCCAAAUGGGAUGAAAUUUGACAUGCUUACCAUGCUAUGUGUUAGUUUUGAUCAUGAUUUAUUUGUUGAUUUUUGGAAAAUGUUUAGAUUGCUUUUGAGUUAAGUCUUGCUGUUGACUUCUAUGAGCUUCUGUUUGCCAUGUUUUGACCUAAAUGGUUCAUGAAAUGAUGAUGAUGAUUGAUAUG
RNAcentral lists this long non-coding RNA (209 nucleotides) under Lathyrus oleraceus (garden pea). RNAcentral's name for it is "Pisum sativum (pea) long non-coding RNA (PSAT_LNC039411)". Lineage: Eukaryota; Viridiplantae; Streptophyta; Magnoliopsida; Fabales; Fabaceae. The record is from RNAcentral.